Molecule: transfer RNA, 59 nt
Filed under: Oscillospiraceae bacterium
Lineage: Bacteria; Bacillati; Bacillota; Clostridia; Eubacteriales; Oscillospiraceae
Description: tRNA-OTHER
Rfam family: tRNA
About the family: Transfer RNA (tRNA) molecules are approximately 80 nucleotides in length. Their secondary structure includes four short double-helical elements and three loops (D, anti-codon, and T loops).
Source: RNAcentral
AGCUAAGUUGGUAUAGCAGAGGGCCUUGAAACCCUCGUGUCGCGGGUUCGAUUCCCGCC